Molecule: ribosomal RNA, 280 nt
Filed under: uncultured bacterium
Lineage: Bacteria
Description: partial 16S ribosomal RNA
Rfam family: Bacterial small subunit ribosomal RNA
Source: RNAcentral
AAGCGGAAAAGGGAAAGGCUUAGUGGCGGACGGGUGAGUAACGCGUGGGUAACCUGGCCCAUACAGGGGGAUAACACUUAGAAAUAGGUGCUAAUACCGCAUAACAACAGAAAGCGCAUGCUUUUUGUUUGAAAACCAAGGUGGUAUGGGAUGGACCCGCGUCUAAUUAGCUGGUUGGCGGGGUAAAGGCCCACCAAGGCGACGAUCAGUAGCCGGCCUGAGAGGGUGGACGGCCACAUUGGGACUGAGACACGGCCCAAACUCCUACGGAAGGCAGCAG